UGGCUCAGAUUGAACGCUGGCGGCAGGCUUAACACAUGCAAGUCGAGCGGGGGAAGGUAGCUUGCUACUGGACCUAGCGGCGGACGGGUGAGUAAUGCUUAGGAAUCUGCCUAUUAGUGGGGGACAACAUCUCGAAAGGGAUGCUAAUACCGCAUACGUCCUACGGGAGAAAGCAGGGGAUCUUCGGACCUUGCGCUAAUAGAUGAGCCUAAGUCGGAUUAGCUAGUUGGUGGGGUAAAGGCCUACCAAGGCGACGAUCUGUAGCGGGUCUGAGAGGAUGAUCCGCCACACUGGGACUGAGACACGGCCCAGACUCCUACGGGAGGCAGCAGUGGGGAAUAUUGGACAAUGGGGGGAACCCUGAUCCAGCCAUGCCGCGUGUGUGAAGAAGGCCUUAUGGUUGUAAAGCACUUUAAGCGAGGAGGAGGCUACUUUAGUUAAUACCUAGAGAUAGUGGACGUUACUCGCAGAAUAAGCACCGGCUAACUCUGUGCCAGCAGCCGCGGUAAUACAGAGGGUGCGAGCGUUAAUCGGAUUUACUGGGCGUAAAGCGUGCGUAGGCGGCUUAUUAAGUCGGAUGUGAAAUCCCCGAGCUUAACUUGGGAAUUGCAUUCGAUACUGGUGAGCUAGAGUAUGGGAGAGGAUGGUAGAAUUCCAGGUGUAGCGGUGAAAUGCGUAGAGAUCUGGAGGAAUACCGAUGGCGAAGGCAGCCAUCUGGCCUAAUACUGACGCUGAGGUACGAAAGCAUGGGGAGCAAACAGGAUUAGAUACCCUGGUAGUCCAUGCCGUAAACGAUGUCUACUAGCCGUUGGGGCCUUUGAGGCUUUAGUGGCGCAGCUAACGCGAUAAGUAGACCGCCUGGGGAGUACGGUCGCAAGACUAAAACUCAAAUGAAUUGACGGGGGCCCGCACAAGCGGUGGAGCAUGUGGUUUAAUUCGAUGCAACGCGAAGAACCUUACCUGGCCUUGACAUACUAGAAACUUUCCAGAGAUGGAUUGGUGCCUUCGGGAAUCUAGAUACAGGUGCUGCA
This 1031-nucleotide ribosomal RNA is filed under the name Acinetobacter baumannii. RNAcentral's name for it is "bacterial SSU rRNA". It matches the Rfam family "Bacterial small subunit ribosomal RNA", at positions 20 to 1045 of the family's 1533-position model. Lineage: Bacteria; Pseudomonadati; Pseudomonadota; Gammaproteobacteria; Moraxellales; Moraxellaceae. The record is from RNAcentral.